GUGCAGCAGGCGAGAAUUUUUCUCAAUGGGGGCAACCCUGAAGGAGCGACGCCGCGUGGAGGAUGAAGGCUUUCGGGUUGUAAACUCCUGUCAUUUGAGAACAAGUGCCAACAAGUAACUACUGUUGGCUUGAUAGUAUCAGAAGAGGAAGGGACGGCUAACUCUGUGCCAGCAGCCGCGGUAAUACAGAGGUCCCAAGCGUUGUUCGGAUUCAUUGGGCGUAAAGGGUGCGUAGGUGGCGUGGUAAGUCGGGUGUGAAAUUUCGGAGCUUAACUCCGAAACUGCAUUCGAUACUGCCGUGCUUGAGGACUGGAGAGGAGACUGGAAUUUACGGUGUAGCAGUGAAAUGCGUAGAGAUCGUAAGGAAGACCAGUGGCGAAGGCGGGUCUCUGGACAGUUCCUGACACUGAGGCACGAAGGCUAGGGGAGCAAACGGGAUUAGAUACCCCUGUAGU
This 455-nucleotide ribosomal RNA is filed under the name uncultured organism. RNAcentral's name for it is "bacterial SSU rRNA". It matches the Rfam family "Bacterial small subunit ribosomal RNA", at positions 346 to 794 of the family's 1533-position model. The record is from RNAcentral.